Molecule: ribosomal RNA, 253 nt
Filed under: uncultured bacterium
Lineage: Bacteria
Description: partial 16S ribosomal RNA
Rfam family: Bacterial small subunit ribosomal RNA
Source: RNAcentral
GACGAACCGUGCAAACGUUGUUCGGAAUCACUGGGCUUAAAGGGCGCGUAGGCGGGUUAUCAAGUCCGGGGUGAAAGCCCCCAGCUUAACUGGGGAAGUGCCUUGGAUACUGGUAAUCUUGAGGGAGGUAGGGGCAUGCGGAACUUCCGGUGGAGCGGUGAAAUGCGUAGAUAUCGGAAGGAACGCCGGUGGCGAAAGCGGCGUGCUGGACCCCUUCUGACGCUGAGGCGCGAAAGCUAGGGGAGCAAACGGG